Molecule: ribosomal RNA, 492 nt
Filed under: uncultured bacterium
Lineage: Bacteria
Description: partial 16S ribosomal RNA
Rfam family: Bacterial small subunit ribosomal RNA
Source: RNAcentral
AGUGAACGCUGGCGGUAGGCCUAACACAUGCAAGUCGAACGGCAGCACAGUAAGAGCUUGCUCUUACGGGUGGCGAGUGGCGGACGGGUGAGGAAUACAUCGGAAUCUACUUUUUCGUGGGGGAUAACGUAGGGAAACUUGCGCUAAUACCGCAUACGACCUACGGGUGAAAGCAGGGGAUCCUCGGACCUUGCGCGAUUGAAUGAGCCGAUGUCGGAUUAGCUAGUUGGCGGGGUAAAGGCCCACCAAGGCGACGAUCCGUAGCUGGUCUGAGAGGAUGAUCAGCCACACUGGAACUGAGACACGGUCCAGACUCCUACGGGAGGCAGCAGUGGGGAAUAUUGGACAAUGGGCGCAAGCCUGAUCCAGCCAUACCGCGUGGGUGAAGAAGGCCUUCGGGUUGUAAAGCCCUUUUGUUGGGAAAGAAAAGCAGCAGGUUAAUACCCCGCUGUUCUGACGGUACCCAAAGAAUAAGCACCGGCUAACUUCGUG